RNAcentral lists this ribosomal RNA (218 nucleotides) under Pseudomonas sp. FSL R10-0399. Its description in RNAcentral is "partial 23S ribosomal RNA". It matches the Rfam family "Bacterial large subunit ribosomal RNA", at positions 1500 to 1712 of the family's 2925-position model. Lineage: Bacteria; Pseudomonadati; Pseudomonadota; Gammaproteobacteria; Pseudomonadales; Pseudomonadaceae. The record is from RNAcentral.
GGUUGUCCAAGUUUAAGGUGGUAGGCUGGAAUCUUAGGUAAAUCCGGGAUUCUAAGGCCGAGAGCUGAUGACGAGUUAUCUUUUAGAUAACGAAGUGGUUGAUGCCAUGCUUCCAAGAAAAGCUUCUAAGCUUCAGAUAACCAGGAACCGUACCCCAAACCGACACAGGUGGUUGGGUAGAGAAUACCAAGGCGCUUGAGAGAACUCGGGUGAAGGAA